AUUGAACGCUGGCGGCAUGCCUUACACAUGCAAGUCGAACGGUAACAGGUCUUCGGAUGCUGACGAGUGGCGAACGGGUGAGUAAUACAUCGGAACGUGCCUAGUAGUGGGGGAUAACUACUCGAAAGAGUGGCUAAUACCGCAUGAGAUCUACGGAUGAAAGCAGGGGAUCGCAAGACCUUGUGCUACUAGAGCGGCCGAUGGCAGAUUAGGUAGUUGGUGGGAUAAAAGCUUACCAAGCCGACGAUCUGUAGCUGGUCUGAGAGGACGAUCAGCCACACUGGGACUGAGACACGGCCCAGACUCCUACGGGAGGUAGCAGUGGGGAAUUUUGGACAAUGGGCGCAAGCCCGAUCCAGCAAUGCCGCGUGCAGGAUGAAGGCCUUCGGGUUGUAAACUGCUUUUGUACGGAACGAAACGGUCCGGGUUAAUACCUCGGACUAAUGACGGUACCUGCAGAAUAAGCACCGGCUAACUACGUGCCAGCCGCCGCAGUAA
This 498-nucleotide ribosomal RNA is filed under the name uncultured bacterium. Its description in RNAcentral is "partial 16S ribosomal RNA". It matches the Rfam family "Bacterial small subunit ribosomal RNA", at positions 30 to 523 of the family's 1533-position model. The record is from RNAcentral.